Molecule: ribosomal RNA, 254 nt
Filed under: uncultured bacterium
Lineage: Bacteria
Description: partial 16S ribosomal RNA
Rfam family: Bacterial small subunit ribosomal RNA
Source: RNAcentral
UACAGAGGGUGCGAGCGUUGUCCGGAAUCACUGGGCGUAAAGGGCGCGUAGGUGGUGGCUUAAGCGUGCGGUGAAAGCUCGGGGCUCAACUCCGAGUCGGCCGUGCGAACUGGGCUCACUGGAGCAUAGUAGAGGCAGGUGGAAUUCCGGGUGUAGCGGUGGAAUGCGUAGAUAUCAGGAGGAACACCUGUGGUGUAGACGGCUUUCUGGACCAUAGCUGACGCUGAGACACGAAAGCGUGGGUAGCAAACAGG